This 655-nucleotide ribosomal RNA is filed under the name Salinispora fenicalii. RNAcentral's name for it is "bacterial SSU rRNA". It matches the Rfam family "Bacterial small subunit ribosomal RNA", at positions 104 to 773 of the family's 1533-position model. The record is from RNAcentral. Lineage: Bacteria; Bacillati; Actinomycetota; Actinomycetes; Micromonosporales; Micromonosporaceae.
GGGUGAGUAACACGUGAGUAACCUGCCCUAGGCUUUGGGAUAACCCCGGGAAACCGGGGCUAAUACCGAAUAUGACUGGCUGCCGCAUGGUGGUUGGUGGAAAGAUUUUUCGGCUUGGGAUGGACUCGCGGCCUAUCAGCUUGUUGGUGGGGUAAUGGCCUACCAAGGCGGCGACGGGUAGCCGGCCUGAGAGGGCGACCGGCCACACUGGGACUGAGACACGGCCCAGACUCCUACGGGAGGCAGCAGUGGGGAAUCUUGCACAAUGGGCGGAAGCCUGAUGCAGCGACGCCGCGUGAGGGAUGACGGCCUUCGGGUUGUAAACCUCUUUCAGCAGGGACGAAGCGUUUGUGACGGUACCUGCAGAAGAAGCGCCGGCCAACUACGUGCCAGCAGCCGCGGUAAGACGUAGGGCGCAAGCGUUGUCCGGAUUUAUUGGGCGUAAAGAGCUCGUAGGCGGCUUGUCGCGUCGACUGUGAAAACCCGUGGCUCAACUGCGGGCUUGCAGUCGAUACGGGCAGGCUAGAGUUCGGUAGGGGAGACUGGAAUUCCUGGUGUAGCGGUGAAAUGCGCAGAUAUCAGGAGGAACACCGGUGGCGAAGGCGGGUCUCUGGGCCGAUACUGACGCUGAGGAGCGAAAGCGUGGGGAGCGAAC